GUCCACGCUGUAAACGAUGAUCACUAGACGUCAGUUCGGCUCUGCUGGAUUGGUGUCGUAGCUAACGCGUUAAGUGAUCCGCCUGGGGAGUACGGUCGCAAGACUAAAACUUAAAGGAAUUGACGGGGGUCCGCACAAGCGGUGGAACAUGUGGUUUAAUUCGACACUACGCGAGGAACCUUACCUGGACUUGACAUGUUUUUGACAGUCGUAGAAAUACUAUCUUCCAAGCUUCGGUUUGGACAAUUUCACAGGUGUUGCAUGGCUGUCGU
RNAcentral lists this ribosomal RNA (272 nucleotides) under uncultured bacterium. RNAcentral's name for it is "partial 16S ribosomal RNA". It matches the Rfam family "Bacterial small subunit ribosomal RNA", at positions 793 to 1055 of the family's 1533-position model. The record is from RNAcentral.